ACGUAGGAGACGAGCGUUAUCCGGAAUUACUGGGCGUAAAGCGCGAGUAGGCGGAAGUGCAAGUCUUUUGUGAAAGCUCCUGGCUAAACUGGGAGAGGUCGAAAGAUACUGCACAUCUGGAGUAUGGAAGAGGGGUGCGGAAUUCCGGGUGUAGUGGUGAAAUGCGUAGAUAUCGGGAGGAACACCAGUGGCGAAAGCGAUUUUCUGGAUCGUUUCUGACGCUCAGACGCGAAAGCUAGGGUAGCAAACGG
Molecule: ribosomal RNA, 251 nt
Filed under: uncultured prokaryote
Description: partial 16S ribosomal RNA
Rfam family: Bacterial small subunit ribosomal RNA
Source: RNAcentral